Molecule: ribosomal RNA, 253 nt
Filed under: uncultured bacterium
Lineage: Bacteria
Description: partial 16S ribosomal RNA
Rfam family: Bacterial small subunit ribosomal RNA
Source: RNAcentral
UACGAGGGGGGCGAGCGUUGUUCGGAAUUAUUGGGCGUAAAGGGUGCGUAGGCGGUUCCGCAAGUCCUGUGUGAAAUCUUCGGGCUCAACUCGAAGUCUGCACGGGAAACUGCGGGGCUUGAGUGUGGGAGAGGUGAGUGGAAUUCCCGGUGUAGCGGUGAAAUGCGCAGAUAUCAGGAGGAACACCGGUGGCGAAGGCGGGUCUCUGGGCCGAUACUGACGCUGAGGAGCGAAAGCAUGGGUAGCGAACAGG